UAAAGAACCUAUCCUUUAGCGGGGGAUAGCCCUUAGAAAUGAGGGGUAAUACCGCAUAAGGUAUCUAUCACGCAUGUGAUGGAUAGGAAAGGGUUAUGUAAAUAACUCACUGAAGGAGGGCUUUGCGGCCUAUCAGGUAGUUGGUGGGGUAAUGGCCUACCAAGCCAAAGACGGGUAGCUGGUCUGAGAGGAUGGUCAGCCACACUGGGACUGAGAUACGGCCCAG
RNAcentral lists this ribosomal RNA (226 nucleotides) under uncultured bacterium. RNAcentral's name for it is "partial 16S ribosomal RNA". It matches the Rfam family "Bacterial small subunit ribosomal RNA", at positions 118 to 334 of the family's 1533-position model. The record is from RNAcentral.